Molecule: ribosomal RNA, 832 nt
Filed under: uncultured Neisseria sp.
Lineage: Bacteria; Pseudomonadati; Pseudomonadota; Betaproteobacteria; Neisseriales; Neisseriaceae
Description: bacterial SSU rRNA
Rfam family: Bacterial small subunit ribosomal RNA
Source: RNAcentral
GAACGCUGGCGGCAUGCUUUACACAUGCAAGUCGGACGGCAGCACAGAGAAGCUUGCUUCUUGGGUGGCGAGUGGCGAACGGGUGAGUAAUAUAUCGGAACGUACCGAGUAAUGGGGGAUAACUAAUCGAAAGAUUAGCUAAUACCGCAUAUUCUCUGAGGAGGAAAGCAGGGGACCUUUGGGCCUUGCGUUAUUCGAGCGGCCGAUAUCUGAUUAGCUAGUUGGUGGGGUAAAGGCCUACCAAGGCGACGAUCAGUAGCGGGUCUGAGAGGAUGAUCCGCCACACUGGGACUGAGACACGGCCCAGACUCCUACGGGAGGCAGCAGUGGGGAAUUUUGGACAAUGGGCGCAAGCCUGAUCCAGCCAUGCCGCGUGUCUGAAGAAGGCCUUCGGGUUGUAAAGGACUUUUGUCAGGGAAGAAAAGGCUGUUGCUAAUAUCAAUAGCUGAUGACGGUACCUGAAGAAUAAGCACCGGCUAACUACGUGCCAGCAGCCGCGGUAAUACGUAGGGUGCGAGCGUUAAUCGGAAUUACUGGGCGUAAAGCGAGCGCAGACGGUUACUUAAGCAGGAUGUGAAAUCCCCGGGCUCAACCUGGGAACUGCGUUCUGAACUGAGUGACUAGAGUGUGUCAGAGGGAGGUAGAAUUCCACGUGUAGCAGUGAAAUGCGUAGAGAUGUGGAGGAAUACCGAUGGCGAAGGCAGCCUCCUGGGAUAACACUGACGUUCAUGCUCGAAAGCGUGGGUAGCAAACAGGAUUAGAUACCUGGUAGUCCACGCCCUAAACGAUGUCAAUUAGCUGUUGGGCAACUUGAUUGCUUAGUAGCGUAGCU